UACGAAGGGGGCUAGCGUUGUUCGGAAUCACUGGGCGUAAAGGGCGCGUAGGCGGCUUUUCAAGUCGGGGGUGAAAGCCUGUGGCUCAACCACAGAAUUGCCUUCGAUACUGUUAGGCUUGAGACCGGAAGAGGUGAGUGGAACUGCGAGCGUAGAGGUGAAAUUCGUAGAUAUUCGCAAGAACACCAGUGGCGAAGGCGGCUCACUGGUCCGGUUCUGACGCUGAGGCGCGAAAGCGUGGGGAGCAAACAGG
Molecule: ribosomal RNA, 253 nt
Filed under: uncultured bacterium
Lineage: Bacteria
Description: partial 16S ribosomal RNA
Rfam family: Bacterial small subunit ribosomal RNA
Source: RNAcentral